GACGAACGCUGGCGGCGUGCUUAACACAUGCAAGUCGAACGGAAAGGCCCUGCUUGCAGGGUACUCGAGUGGCGAACGGGUGAGUAACACGUGGGUGAUCUGCCCUGCACUUCGGGAUAAGCCUGGGAAACUGGGUCUAAUACCGGAUAGGAGCCAUUUUUAGUGUGAUGGUGGAAAGUUUUUUCGGUGUAGGAUGAGCUCGCGGCCUAUCAGCUUGUUGGUGGGGUAAUGGCCUACCAAGGCGGCGACGGGUAGCCGGCCUGAGAGGGUGGACGGCCACAUUGGGACUGAGAUACGGCCCAGACUCCUACGGGAGGCAGCAGUGGGGAAUAUUGCACAAUGGGCGCAAGCCUGAUGCAGCGACGCCGCGUGGGGGAUGACGGCCUUCGGGUUGUAAACUCCUUUCGCUAGGGACGAAGCUUUUUGUGACGGUACCUAGAUAAGAAGCACCGGCUAACUACGUG
RNAcentral lists this ribosomal RNA (464 nucleotides) under uncultured bacterium. RNAcentral describes it as "partial 16S ribosomal RNA". It matches the Rfam family "Bacterial small subunit ribosomal RNA", at positions 28 to 507 of the family's 1533-position model. The record is from RNAcentral.